Molecule: ribosomal RNA, 924 nt
Filed under: Virgibacillus halodenitrificans
Lineage: Bacteria; Bacillati; Bacillota; Bacilli; Caryophanales; Bacillaceae
Description: bacterial SSU rRNA
Rfam family: Bacterial small subunit ribosomal RNA
Source: RNAcentral
GACGAACGCUGGCGGCGUGCCUAAUACAUGCAAGUCGAGCGCGGGAAGCAAGCUGAUCCUCUUCGGAGGUGACGCUUGUGGAACGAGCGGCGGACGGGUGAGUAACACGUGGGCAACCUGCCUGUAAGACUGGGAUAACCCCGGGAAACCGGGGCUAAUACCGGAUAAUACUUUUCAUCACCUGAUGGAAAGUUGAAAGGUGGCUUCUUGCUACCACUUACAGAUGGGCCCGCGGCGCAUUAGCUAGUUGGUGAGGUAACGGCUCACCAAGGCAACGAUGCGUAGCCGACCUGAGAGGGUGAUCGGCCACACUGGGACUGAGACACGGCCCAGACUCCUACGGGAGGCAGCAGUAGGGAAUCUUCCGCAAUGGACGAAAGUCUGACGGAGCAACGCCGCGUGAGUGAUGAAGGUUUUCGGAUCGUAAAGCUCUGUUGUUAGGGAAGAACAAGUGCCGUUCGAAUAGGGCGGCACCUUGACGGUACCUAACCAGAAAGCCCCGGCUAACUACGUGCCAGCAGCCGCGGUAAUACGUAGGGGGCAAGCGUUGUCCGGAAUUAUUGGGCGUAAAGCGCGCGCAGGCGGUCCUUUAAGUCUGAUGUGAAAGCCCACGGCUUAACCGUGGAGGGUCAUUGGAAACUGGAGGACUUGAGUACAGAAGAGGAGAGUGGAAUUCCACGUGUAGCGGUGAAAUGCGUAAAGAUGUGGAGGAACACCAGUGGCGAAGGCGACUCUCUGGUCUGUAACUGACGCUGAGGCGCGAAAGCGUGGGGAGCGAACAGGAUUAGAUACCCUGGUAGUCCACGCCGUAAACGAUGAGUGCUAGGUGUUAGGGGGUUUCCGCCCCUUAGUGCUGAAGUUAACGCAUUAAGCACUCCGCCUGGGGAGUACGGCCGCAAGGCUGAAACUCAAAAGAAUUGACGG